RNAcentral lists this ribosomal RNA (255 nucleotides) under uncultured bacterium. RNAcentral's name for it is "partial 16S ribosomal RNA". It matches the Rfam family "Bacterial small subunit ribosomal RNA", at positions 524 to 776 of the family's 1533-position model. The record is from RNAcentral.
GACAUAGGUUGCGAACGUUAUCCGGAAUUAUUGGGCGUAAAGGAUGCGUAGAUGGCAUGACAAGUUAUCAGUGGGAAAUCGGGGCUCAACCUCGUGGAAGCUGGUAAUACUAUCAUGCUUGAGUGCAGGAGGGGUUAACGGAACUCCAUGUGGAGCGGUAAAAUGUGACGAUAUAUGGAAGAACACCGAUAAGGCGAAGGCAGUUAACUAUUCUGCUACUGACAUUGAGGCAUGAAAGCGUGGGGAGCAAAACGG